Long non-coding RNA from Ruditapes philippinarum (Manila clam), 1009 nucleotides. RefSeq lists it as uncharacterized. The record is from RefSeq and is a predicted model, not a curated record. The transcript has 3 exons. Lineage: Eukaryota; Metazoa; Mollusca; Bivalvia; Venerida; Veneridae.
GCAGUUUUUCCGCAUUAUUACCGACCUUAGUAUAAAUCCGUGGCAUUAUUAAUGCUAAAUGCUUUAUUACACAAACGGUAUCUAGGCAUAUCACGCGUUUUCAAAACAGCCAAUGAGUUUAUAGCGUUGGUUUUGUAUCACGUGAAUCCUAUCAACCAAUCAGAAAUAGCGCGGGCGAAAUGAAAAAAGAAAAAACGGGAUUGGAAAUGGAUAGUAAAUAAAAUUCAGAAUAUUGCAAAACAAGGACAGUUAAAUCUUCUAGAAAUGCAGCUGUGCCCUCUUUACAGCAAUUGUAGAUGAAGCAAAGUAUGGUAGCAAGUUAUAUAGAUAUACACACAUGCCGAAGAAGAUUGUAAUAUCUGGAGAUAACAUUUCCUACGUCACGAAAUAGACACCGUCACACUGGUCUACGUAACAUUCCUAUAGAUGAUUGAUAUAUUUAAGUGCUUUUAAGAACUGUGUUUGAAUGACGAAUUUCUGUGAAUACGGAUUUUUAGUUUUAAUUACUAUUAUUUAAACUUUCUGUAAUAAUCAAUUUGUGCUAUGGACUCAUUUUCCUAAAAUAAUAUGUGAAUGUUAACACGAACAAAUGAUAUGAAUAUCUUCAAAAUAUUUUAUGGGUGUAUUACAAGUGGCUCAUAAAAAUCAUUGUUAAGAUAAAUAGAAUCGAACUUCAAGUUGGUAUAGUUUGUUCUAGAUUUAAACAACAUGCAAUUCAUAAAGGUUACGGCUUGAAAAUAUCGAAACAUGUACAUGUAUAACUCGAUCUCUAAAGAAAAUAUCGCAGUGCGGAUUUUCUCCACUGUGAUACGUAGUUCAUGACUCUGUAUCGCAUCAUACCGGUAUAUCGCCGUUCCGUUGCAACGCUACAUUAAUUUGUCCCUCUGGAAUAAGGCUUGCAACAAUAAAUGACUGUUGUAGCGAAGACAUGUUUAUUUUGUUUAAUAUAUGUAUACAUAUUGAAUAUAUGUUUAUGAAAUAAUAAAUAUUUAAAAGUGACUCGAUUUGG